AGAAAUUUAGGUUAAUUAAACCAAGAGCCUUCAAAGCUCUAAAAAAGGACACACCCCCUUAAUUUCUG
This 68-nucleotide transfer RNA is filed under the name Varanus rudicollis (roughneck monitor). RNAcentral describes it as "tRNA-Trp". Lineage: Eukaryota; Metazoa; Chordata; Lepidosauria; Squamata; Varanidae. The record is from RNAcentral.